Molecule: long non-coding RNA, 472 nt
Organism: Microtus ochrogaster (prairie vole)
Lineage: Eukaryota; Metazoa; Chordata; Mammalia; Rodentia; Cricetidae
Exons: 3
Source: RefSeq, a predicted model, not a curated record
GAGAAACAAGAGCUUCAGGAUGACAAAAGAAAAGCCAUCGAAAGCAUGGAGCAGCAAUUAUCUGAAUUGAAGAAGACACUGUCUAGUGUUCAGAAUGAAGUACAAGAAGCUCUGCAAAGAGCAAGCACGGCUUUAAGUAAUGAACAGCAAGCCAGGCGUGACUGUCAGGAACAAUGAGCAUUCACUGAAAGCUCAGCUUGUGAACAUGUUCACAGGGGAAGCCAACUCCGAGAUACAGUAAGAAGAACCAAGAAGUUAACACAUUAUGUCAAAAGUAAUACGCAAGCAUGACCAGAACCCAAGUGCUAAGAUGGAGGCAGAGACAGGUGGAUUCUGGAGUUCAUUGGCCGGCCAGCCUAGAUGAGAUGCAGUUCAUCGAGAGACCUUGUUUCUAACCAUAAAGUAGAGAAUAGUGAAGGAAGACGUAAGUCAGCCUCUCUCCUCUAAGUGCACCUACACAAACACAUGAAUA